This 425-nucleotide ribosomal RNA is filed under the name uncultured bacterium. RNAcentral describes it as "partial 16S ribosomal RNA". It matches the Rfam family "Bacterial small subunit ribosomal RNA", at positions 354 to 796 of the family's 1533-position model. The record is from RNAcentral.
GUGGGGAAUCUUGCGCAAUGGGCGAAAGCCUGACGCAGCCAUGCCGCGUGGAUGAUGAAGGUCUUAGGAUUGUAAAAUCCUUUCACCGGUGAAGAUAAUGACUGUAGCCGGAGAAGAAGCCCCGGCUAACUUCGUGCCAGCAGCCGCGGUAAUACGAAGGGGGCUAGCGUUGCUCGGAUUUACUGGGCGUAAAGGGCGCGUAGGCGGACAUUUAAGUCAGGGGUGAAAUCCAGGGGCUCAACCUCGGAACUGCCUUUGAUACUGGGUGUCUUGAGUAUGAGAGAGGUGUGUGGAACUCCGAGUGUAGAGGUGAAAUUCGUAGAUAUUCGGAAGAACACCAGUGGCGAAGGCGACACACUGGCUCAUUACUGACGCUGAGGCGCGAAAGCGUGGGGAGCAAACAGGAUUAGAUACCCCGGUAGUCC